GAUCAUUACCGAGUGUAGGGUUCCUAGCGAGCCCAACCACCCACCCGUGUUUACAGUAACCUUAGUAGCUUCGGCGGGCCCGCCUUUAAGGCMGCCGGGGGGCAUCAGCCCCCGGGCCAGCGCCCGCCGGAGACACCACGAACACAGUCUGAUCUAGUGAAGUCUGAGUUGAUAGUAUAGCAAUCAGUUAAAACUUUCAACAAUGGAUCUCUUGGUUCCGGCAUCGAUGAAGAACGCAGCGAAAUGCGAUAACUAGUGUGAAUUGCAGAAUUCCGUGAAUCAUCGAGUCUUUGAACGCACAUUGCGCCCCCUGGUAUUCCGGGGGGCAUGCCUGUCCGAGCGUCAUUGCUGCCCAUCUAGCACGUGCUUGUGUGUUGGGUCGUCGUCCCCUCUUCGGGGGGGACGGGCCCCAAAGGCUGCUGCGGCACCGCGUCCGAUCCUCGAGCGUAUGGUGCUUUGUCACCCGCUCUGUAGGCCCGGCCGGCGCUUGCCGAACGCUAAACAACCAUUCUUUCCUGGUUGACCUCGGAUCUGGUAGG
Molecule: unclassified non-coding RNA, 539 nt
Filed under: Aspergillus tamarii
Lineage: Eukaryota; Fungi; Ascomycota; Eurotiomycetes; Eurotiales; Aspergillaceae
Description: sequence contains 18S rRNA gene, ITS1, 5.8S rRNA gene, ITS2, 28S rRNA gene
Source: RNAcentral